This 69-nucleotide transfer RNA is filed under the name Phrynocephalus luteoguttatus (yellow-speckled toad-headed agama). RNAcentral's name for it is "tRNA-Ala". The record is from RNAcentral. Lineage: Eukaryota; Metazoa; Chordata; Lepidosauria; Squamata; Agamidae.
AAGGCCUUAGUUUAGUUAAAAUGUCUUUGUUGCGGAUAGAAGAUGUAGAGUUAAGAUCUUCAGGUCUUA